This 420-nucleotide ribosomal RNA is filed under the name uncultured bacterium. RNAcentral describes it as "bacterial SSU rRNA". It matches the Rfam family "Bacterial small subunit ribosomal RNA", at positions 362 to 774 of the family's 1533-position model. The record is from RNAcentral.
UAUUGGACAAUGGGCGAAAGCCUGAUCCAGCCAUGCCGCGUGUGUGAAGAAGGCCUUAGGGUUGUAAAGCACUUUCAGUGGGGAGAAAGGCUGUUUGCUUAAUACGUAAGCAGAUUGAUGUUGCCCACAGAAGAAGCACCGGCUAACUCCGUGCCAGCAGCCGCGGUAAUACGGAGGGUGCAAGCGUUAAUCGGAAUUACUGGGCGUAAAGCGCACGUAGGUGGUUUGGUAAGCUAGCCGUGAAAUCCCCGGGCUCCACCUGGGAAUUGCGGUUAGAACUGCCAAGCUAGAGUAGGGUAGAGGGGUGUGGAAUUCCAGGUGUAGCGGUGAAAUGCGUAGAUAUCUCGAGGAACAUCAGUGGCGAAGGCGACACCCUGGACUCAUACUGACACUGAGGUGCGAAAGCGUGGGGAGCAAACA